UACGUAGGGUGCGAGCGUUGUCCGGAAUUAUUGGGCGUAAAGAGCUCGUAGGCGGUGUGUCGCGUCGGCCGUGAAAACCUGGGGCUCAACUCUGGGCGUGCGGUCGAUACGGGCAUCACUUGAGUUCGGCAGGGGAGACUGGAAUUCCUGGUGUAGCGGUGAAAUGCGCAGAUAUCAGGAGGAACACCGGUGGCGAAGGCGGCUCUCUGGACGGAUACUGACGCUGAGACGCGAAAGCGUGGGGAGCAAACAGG
This 254-nucleotide ribosomal RNA is filed under the name uncultured bacterium. Its description in RNAcentral is "partial 16S ribosomal RNA". It matches the Rfam family "Bacterial small subunit ribosomal RNA", at positions 524 to 776 of the family's 1533-position model. The record is from RNAcentral.